UUGACGAAACAACUUUAAAUGCAUUGUAGGUCAGUGUUGCUUGCAGUCAUGAAAGAAUCAGUAGAGAUGCACCCUGUACCAAAGUUAACAUGACCGUCAUUUCCGCAUUGAAAACGUUGGCAAGGCAACCGGUCGCGAUCGCAACAGCACGCCGACGACCUUAAAAUGCUCUUUAGUUAGCUUUCACAUUUCUCCCCUUUCCUGGUUUUUAAGAGAAUAAAAAAAACACGAUGUCUGAAAUUUUGUGUCGGUGGAUCAAUUCAGACCUUAAAUUAUCAAAAUCUGUCGAUCCGAAAACGAUUUCAGCGGAUUUCGCAAAUGGAUACCUGAUAGGCGAAAUGUUGCAUAAAUACCAGCUUCAGGACGAUUUCGACCAAUUUUCAAAAGGCAGGACCGCGAACACCAAGCUGAAUAACUACAGCCGGAUAGAGCCGACGCUGCAGCUGCUUGGAGUGCCGUUUGAUGCGGGCUUCGCGCAGGCGCUGAUGCAGGAGGUCCCAGGAGCUGCCACUCGGCUGCUCUACCAGCUCUAUGUCCUGCUGGAGAAGAAGAGGCGAGCAGGUCUGACAGGUGCCAUUAUGGAAACCAUGCAGCCUGCUGCCACUGCUCGCCUGCAUCGCAUGGAGAGGGAGGUCUACAACGAGCGCCUCAGGACCGUGGUCAAGCGCGAGGCGGACAAACAGCUUCAGAAGAUCUCCCAGAGGUACGAGUUCCGAGGGCAUGAGAUGCUCCGGAGGUCCACCAGGGCGCAGCGUGAAAAGCAGCAAGAGAUGCAGAAGGUUGACAGGGAUAUGCACCUUAAGGAAAUCGAAGAGCGUCGGCUGGCUCGCAGGAAGCAGCAGGAGAUCAUGGUCCAGCUCCAGAACACGGCUGCCCAGACCCCUACGGCCCCGACCAAACAGUCCCUGAGACCCCCGGAGCGUCAAUGGCGUCAGAACCGAAAGCAGAAAGAGGCUCAGGAUGUUCGAAGGGAGAUUGCCCGAUUUGAGAGGAACUUGAAAAAACAACUUCCUGUAGAGAGCCUCUCUUCAAGCGUGCCAUACGGCUUCCCCAGCGAGGGCCUAUGGCCUGAGGAGGUGGCCCUAACCAGCAGCGAGUAUGUCCUAAAGAUCCGCCAGCGGCUGGAGCGGGACGCGGCGGCCCGGGAGCAGCGAGAGAAGCGGCGGAGGCAGGCGCUUGUGAAGCAGUUGCAGGCCCACGAAGAACAGCAGGAGGCGAUCCGUGACGCGCAGCUGGUGGCCCGUCUGACCCGGCACACCAAGCAGGAAAGGCGCGUCGUCGUGCAGCUCAUGCAGAUCCAUCAGCAGAAGGAGGUUCUGCGGCAGAACCGGAUCUUCCGGGAGAAGCAGUACCAGGAGCAGCGCCUGCGGGGCUUUCAGGAAGCUCUUGACCAAGAGGCGGCUCUGGCCCAACAGGCCCGUCUGGACCACGCAGAUGAGCUGUGCAGGGAGAAGGAGAUGCAUGACCGCAUUGCAGCCGAGCGGGUCCAGGCACGACGCAAGAAGCACUUUGAUGCCUGCCAAGACGUCCUUGGACAGAUGGUGGACCUGGCCACCCGGGUCGGGGAGUUCCGCUUGCUCACUGGAAACCGGAUCCCAGCCAAGCUGAUACGGGAGUGGAAGGAGCUGUUUUUCCAUGCCAUGCCACUGUAUGAGGGGGGUGCUGUGGAGACCCCUGCCUCAGAGCCCACCCAGGAGCAGGCCAGGGAGACAGAACAGCUGGAGAUUCUCAACAAUCAGGACUACGAUGAGUAUACAUCUAUGAUGGGUGAGUGGGUGUGGCCAGGGGAAGGUGGUGGCAAAGAACCUCCACCGAACAACUGCAUCCUGGCUCAUGUGGUAACCCGUCUGAAGGCCAUCGUAGAGUCCCCUAUGUCGGCCAGCCCUCCAUCCUUUGUCCUGGGCUUCACCCUUAAGGCGUGUGUCCUGGGAAAGCCCUUCGCAGGAAAGACCACCUGUCUUGCUCGGAUUAACCAAACCCACGGCAUCCAUAUCCUGUCAGUGGGCAUUCUGGUCCAGGAGGCCCUGGAAGCCUUUCGGACAGGAGAGGUAGUGCUGGGUACAGUUCUGGAGGAGCUCGAGACCUUUGUGGGAUGCGCACUGGGAGUCAAACACCCAGACACUUUCUCUUCUCAAUAUCAGCCUCCAGAGAGCAGAGUGUCCUCCAGUGAAGACUGUGAGGAGGUGGAGCAGGAUCAUGGGAAAGGGCAGGACGUGUCUGGGUCUAUCGAGUCAGACCUUCUCUCCCAUCAUUUUCAGCAGCACCCAACCCAGAAAAAGGAGCCCAAGCCUAAGCUCUCAGUGAGGGCCCAACAGGGAGGAGCAGCAGAGAAGAUCCUCAGGAAGGGAAAGGCUGUCCCUGAUGAGCUCUUGGUGGAGAUCAUCGUGGAAGCCAUCAGACGGGUUCCUUCCGAGUCAGGCUGGAUCCUGGAUGGGUUCCCUGUACACUUGAACCAGGCCAAACUUCUUGAGAAGGCUCUGUGUGGGUUCAACCCAGAUGAUGGUAGUAAGAAGCAAAGGAACAGGGAGCCCAACCUUGCUGUGGACCCUAACGCCCUAAAGGAGACCCCGCCUCCCCCACCAGUGCUGGACGUGGUUCUGUUGCUGGACGUGCCCGAUGAUGUGGUCCUUGACCGUGCUGCAAAGCAAGCACUGGAGCAGGGUGGUAGCGGGCCAGCUGAGGAGGAGUCUGGGACGGAGGCAGAUCCAGCAGCAGAGGAGGAGGCUUCAGUAAAACCGCAGCGCAGUGAAAAAGCAGCACCCCUUAAACCAAAGGGCCUGGGCAUGAGCCAGGUCCAGCACAGAGUCACCGCUUUCCAUGGCAACUGGCCCAAACUGGAAAAAUGGUACUCAAGACGGCAGGAUAUCCUAGUGAGGGUGAACGCAGAGGAAGAGCCAGACGUGGUCUUCAGGAAGGUGGAGUCCAUCCUCUAUCAGACCAUGCUGCAGCAAGCCGAUGGGGCAGGGAGGCAGGCUGAGGCUGCCACCGCAGCGUCUGCCCCUGAGCAUCCUUAUGACAGGGGUACCGGCACCACCGAGCUUCCCGCUAACCCACCUGCGGAUGUAGCUUACGUGGAUGAGCCGCUACCUAAGGAAAUCCCAGAAUACCUUGCUCCCCACUGGCAGAAUGUGUGUACUUCAUACGUGACCAACAUCAAGACCGUGAUGCAGAACGUGCGUGCCCAACGCAGUCUGAUCAUCCAACACCUGUACAACAUCAGAGAGGAGUUCAUUCAGUACCUGAAGAGGCCAGACCUGAAGCAGGAGUUUGUGGUCCAGUGGCAGCAGGAGUACAACAGCAUCCCACAGGACAUGAGAUUUGAUGGGGACACCAAAGCGGAGAUUCACCUCCGUCUGGAUGAGCUCAGGGAGCGACUUUGGGACAUCUGUGACCAGCGCAGGGAGGAGGCCCGACGAGAACAGGCAGCCAUUGAGGGGGACAGCUGGAUUGAUGACCACACGGCUAUGCUCAUCAACCACUUCGCAGCCCUCAUGCAGGUGGAGCUGGACCGGUUCCAGGACACCAUCUUACUGCUGAGGGACUAUUACAGCGGGAUGUUGGGUCAGAUCCACCCGGAGACAGUGAUGCAGUUCUCACACGUCCCCAUGCUGGAUGUCAUUGAGGACAAAGGAGACGUCCAAACUGAGAAGGAUGGAGAGGAAAAGAGGACACAAAUAAUCCCCCUGAUCUCGAGGAGCCCUUCGUCAAUAGAGGCGGACGUAAAGCAGAAGGGUUCGAUGGACGGACACCCCAGCGAGAAGCUCUUGGACUCCAUUUGGCAGACCGCACUGACAGCUGUCAACAGCCUGGUGGCCAUAGAAGUUCAGAGCAGGAAGGCUGUGGAGAAUGAGGAGACCCAGCAGCGGAUGGAGCAGGAGCACCUGCAGAGGGAAUCCCAGGCCUCUGUCACCUCCCACAACAUAAAGGAGAAAAAGAAGGGCAGCAGGAAGAAAGAUGUUCAGUCUCCGGUUCAAGAGCCCAGUCCCUGCCCCCCCAUGGAGGAAAAUGAAGAGGAGAUGCGCAGGAGGGCAGUGAGAGCCCAAAUCCACCAGGAGCACGCCAUGGCGGUUGAUGUUGAAGACUGCAGGGCGAGAGCACGCCUCGAGCUGAUCCAGGCCCGGGCCCUGUCCAUGGUGCGAGACCUCCAGCUGCAGGCCCAGCAGACCUACCAAGCCAUGCAGGACCAGCUGAGCGGCCGCUUCCUGGCAGAGAUGACCAGUAUCGAUAAGUUGGUGGAGCUGGUAGGCAAACACAUCGAGUCUGGCUCUCAGAUUAAGUACCAGCUGGUUCUGGAGGGCCUCGACUUCUUCAUGGAUGGGGAGAAGCGUGUUGUGGACCCCCCAGCACCCCCUCCUCGCCCACCCCCGUGGGAGCUGCCACAGGACAGCACUCUCACAAUCCUCCAGUUGAGGGAGCUGCACACUCAGUUUUACAAGGUCGCCCCAUCAGGUCAGCUGUGUGCUGUGGAGUUCUCAGAGAUCCUGCGAUGGCUUGUCUCACUGCACAUGGGCAGUGACGCUUUGCCCAGGCUCUGGAAGUGCCUGUCAGAAGCUCAGAUCCUGAACCUGGUAUCGGUGAUGAGCCAGGACUCGGAGCUGCUGGACUGGCGCCGGUUCCUGUUGAGUGCCGCCAUGCCUUGGCCCCUCCCUACCCAGGCCCAGCUGCUGGAGGUUCUCGCCCAGUUCCGGGCAGCUGACCCCCAGAACACAGGCUUCGUUACAGAGGAGUCAUACCUGCAGACAGAACUGUGGUUCCCCAGUGAGAGGAAGUCGCCGCCCCCUGAUGACCCAUCUGAGCCCCUCCCAUAUGAUCGCCUGGCUAACCUGAAGAAGUUUUUCUUCGCUCUGUUUGCGGACCACACCCCCUCGCCUCCCCGCCUCGACUACGGGACCGUUCUGCUGUACUUCGCCAUGCACCCCGAUUGUGAGCAAGGCUGGGUCCGAGCCCUCAGCGUGGUCACAGGACAGCCGCUGAGAUACCGACCCCGCAGAGCCCCGCUGCUGAAGGUGACACCGCGUCUCACGGUCGCAAAAAGAAAAUGAAAGUGAGAACCCAACAUGGGCUGAGAACUGCAGCUAAGCUUCCAAAGCUACAUACAAAUCAGAGCAGGGUCAGCCAACAGCCAUGCUUACGGGUCUGUCUCUAGGGACCGUCAGCCAACAGCCAUGCUUACGGGUCUGUCUCUAGGGACUGUCAGCCAACAGCCAUGCUUACGGGUCUGUCUCUAGGGACCGUCAGCAAACAGCCAUGCUUACGGGUCUGUCUCUAGGGACCGUCAGCCAACAGCCAUGCUUACGGGUCUGUCUCUAGGGACCGUCAGCCAACAGCCAUGCUUACGGGUCUGUCUCUAGGGACUGUCAGCCAACAGCCAUGCUUACGGGUCUGUCUCUUAGGACCGUCAGCCAACAGCCAUGCUUAUGGGUCUGUCUCUAGGGACCGUCAGCGAACGGCCAUGCUUACGGGUCUGUCUCUAGGGACCGUCAGCCAACAGCCAUACUUACGGGUCUGUCUCUAGGGACCGUCAGCUAACAGCCAUGCUUACGGGUCUGUCUCUAGGGACUGACUGUGAUAUCAGACUUAUACUCAAGACCACUUUAUUGGCCAGCUAUGUCAAGCAUAGGAGCUUUUUCUAGGUAUUACAAUGUGUGUGGCACAGGGCAUAGACAUAAGGUAAUAUAGAAUAUAUAUGAAAUAUUCAUGCAAUAUGCAGUUGCAUAGAAAGAGCGAUAGUGCUGUGAGGAAUGCAAGGGAAAAAUGAGAAGAAAGUGCUCUGCAGGAGUGUGAUACCACUAGUGGUGAUGCGGGGGGCUGUGCUGGUUUAGGAGAGAUACUGAUUUACGGAAGAAGCUGUUGGUCAGUGUAUGUGUGCUCAGGGUUGUUGGCCUUUUGCCAGCAGGGAGGGGAUGGAAGCGUGAUGAGCAGGGUGAGAAAUGUCCCACAUUAUCUUUCCAGCACACAUUAGGACCUGCUGUUGUAGUUCUCCUGCAGGGAGGACAGAUUGUGGCCGAUGAUCUUUUUCCCACAGUCCUAAUCACCUUUUGCAGGAGGAGAGGAAGCAAACUGUUAAAUGAACCAUAUUAUGAUAUGAUUACCGUCUUUCUUGAAAUCAGUGUGGGAACAUAAAGUAUAUCUCUAUGGUGAGCAGAGACAUACCAGUGCCUAAAACUGCCUCCUAGUCUGUGCCGUACAUCGAGGAAGCGUCCGAUUCUGCACACCCAGAGGGGGAGCCAGAGCCAGCCAGCUCGGAAGAGGGAGGGACAGUAACCAUUCCUGCUCUCCUGAAAGUAGCCUGCCACGGAGGCCCAAGGAGCUCCACCCA
This is an RNA transcript of Brienomyrus brachyistius, 6319 nucleotides long. It is a transcript of the gene named sperm flagellar 2, with no coding region annotated. The record is from RefSeq and is a predicted model, not a curated record. The transcript has 35 exons. Lineage: Eukaryota; Metazoa; Chordata; Actinopteri; Osteoglossiformes; Mormyridae.